AGUGAACGCUGGCGGUAGGCCUAACACAUGCAAGUCGAACGGCAGCACAGUAAGAGCUUGCUCUUAUGGGUGGCAAGUGGCGGACGGGUGAGGAAUACAUCGGAAACUACUUUUUCGUGGGGGAUAACGUAGGGAAACUUACGCUAAUACCGCAUACGACCUACGGGUGAAAGCAGGGGACCUUCGGGCCUUGCGCGAUU
RNAcentral lists this ribosomal RNA (200 nucleotides) under uncultured bacterium. RNAcentral's name for it is "partial 16S ribosomal RNA". It matches the Rfam family "Bacterial small subunit ribosomal RNA", at positions 29 to 222 of the family's 1533-position model. The record is from RNAcentral.